This is a long non-coding RNA of Atta colombica, 1583 nucleotides long. RefSeq lists it as uncharacterized. The record is from RefSeq and is a predicted model, not a curated record. The transcript is spliced from 4 exons. NCBI's taxonomy places the organism in Eukaryota, Metazoa, Arthropoda, Insecta, Hymenoptera, Formicidae.
CCGACCGUCGUCGCGUGAACACGUCGUAGUUGUGUCUGGACUUGUGAAACGCGCGUAAAAUCACCGUCGUCGCCGUCACCGUCGCCACCUCCCCCUCCCCGAACGUCCACGUCCGGUGUCCCAACGAGGGUGAGAUCCACGCGUACUCGUCCUCUUCUAUCAUCCCGCCACUUCUCUCUAUCUUAAUUCUUUCCCGGCCCGUAUCACUCUAUCCAUAUCUCUUCACGUUCCGUACAUUCCUCAUCCCUCCCCCUCUCCCAAUUGUCGCGCGUCGUCGCAACUUUUACUCGCCCGCAGUAUAACAACAUUGGGGAGCGCGAGAGUCCGCCUACGCACGAGGGUAGCAAGUAGAAAGUGUUGCGCUGCGACAAAAACGAAAGAAUCGGAGAUCGAUCGUCGGAGCAUCAAAUUGAGCUGAAUAGGAAGCUGCACGUCCCUUUGCAUGAUGUCUGUCUGGAUGAAGUUUACCAAUAUUGAACAACAUGAUCAUCUUCGAUGGAUUUAGAUAUAAACUUUAGAACAUCGCGGUCAGCACGUUGCCAGACCUGAGAAGUAACGUCAGGACAACGACGACAACGGAGGAAGCAACUCAGUGGAGAAAGGCGUGAGAGGGGGCUUCUCGAUCGACUUUAUAUCGAUGGAGCCGUCCUGAUGCAGACCGCGAAACUACGCGGGGAUCACCCGGCCUGGUCGUCGGACUAAUUCUACCGGCGGGCCCUGGCUAUUUCACAGAGCAGCGAGCUGUCUCAUCCUCAUCGACGGCAACAGACCCAGCCACUUCCACUUCCUCCACCCCACGUGGCCGCACCAUCACCUGAUAAGGUAAGCCUUUAUCGAAACUGCAUUCUCAUAGAUUUCUGGGGCAAAUAUUUAUAUUGUGUGUAAUACACACUAAUUAAAAAUUGAAAGUUUUACUCCGUGAUAAUAAUUAAUCUAAUUUACACAUUUUCUUAUGUCGAAAUAUCAUCGAUUACAUUUUUUGAUGUUAUUCUAAAUAAAAAACAAUAUAUUGUAUAACUCAAAUUUUUAUUUUCUUAUUAAGAAUAUAAUUGCAAACAUUAUGCUCAUUAAUGUAAAUAGUUGUUUGUAAAUUAAAUAGUGGAUAAAUUUAUAAUAGUGGAUGAGAUUCACUCAAAGAAACGAGAACUUCUUUUAAAAAUUUUAUAAUUCCAGUAUAUAUCAUGUGUCAAUCUAUAUAUUUAUAUAUUUAGAAUGUUGGAAGUGCUGGAACGUUUGUAUAUAAGAUCGAUUCCGACAGCAGAAGAAAUGCAAAUAUUGUAGAAAUACAAUAAACUAUCGAUAAAAGUAUAUGUUAUAGACUGUGUUUUAUUUAAUUUUGUUCACGAAUUUCUCAAUACUGUACGCUAUGUGGAACUGCAGAAGCGUAGACAUUAUCUCGUUAAGUUCAAAGCGAUUGAUUCAUAAACAAGAUAUUAUCGAUGUACGUUGCAAUUAUGCAGGAGUCAUUUAUGUUCAUGAUCCGAUAUGUUGAUUAAUCUCUUCAUCGGGUUAUCGCUCUAUUAUCUGAUAAGGUUCGCCAAUUGACUAUGAGCACGCCGGGGCAUGCCAGGGUUUAACCGACC